UACGUAGGGUGCGAGCGUUAAUCGGAAUUACUGGGCGUAAAGCGUGCGCAGGCGGUUUGUUAAGACAGAUGUGAAAUCCCCGGGCUUAACCUGGGAACUGCAUUUGUGACUGGCAAGCUAGAGUAUGGCAGAGGGGGGUAGAACUCCACGUGUAGCAGUGAAAUGCGUAGAGAUGUGGAGGAAUACCGAUGGCGAAGGCAGCCCCCUGGGCCAAUACUGACGCUCAUGCACGAAAGCGUGGGGAGCAAACAGG
Molecule: ribosomal RNA, 253 nt
Filed under: uncultured bacterium
Lineage: Bacteria
Description: partial 16S ribosomal RNA
Rfam family: Bacterial small subunit ribosomal RNA
Source: RNAcentral